Molecule: unclassified non-coding RNA, 358 nt
Filed under: Calvatia cyathiformis
Lineage: Eukaryota; Fungi; Basidiomycota; Agaricomycetes; Agaricales; Lycoperdaceae
Description: partial internal transcribed spacer region
Rfam family: Eukaryotic small subunit ribosomal RNA (bases 1-46)
Source: RNAcentral
AAGUCGUAACAAGGUUUCCGUAGGUGAACCUGCGGAAGGAUCAUUAUUGAAUAUUCUUGAUGGGUUGUAGCUGGCUCUUCGGGGCAUGUGCACGCCUGUCUUGACUUUAUUCAUCCACCUGUGCACCUUUUGUAGUCUUGGGGGUUGAGAGCAGUCAAUAAUCGGAUGACCAUUUGGUCACUCCGGGUGUGAGGAAUGCUGAGUGCGAAAGCAUACAGCUCUUCUCAAAGUGACUUGUAAUCCUCUCCUUCAAGUACUAUGUAUUCAUAUACCCAUAGUAUGUUGUAGAAUGUGAUCAAUGGGCCCAAGUGCCUAUAACAAUCAUAUACAACUUUCAGCAACGGAUCUCUUGGCUCUC